RNAcentral lists this small RNA (46 nucleotides) under Roseimaritima multifibrata. RNAcentral's name for it is "Acido-Lenti-1 RNA". It matches the Rfam family "Acido-Lenti-1 RNA". Lineage: Bacteria; Pseudomonadati; Planctomycetota; Planctomycetia; Pirellulales; Pirellulaceae. The record is from Rfam by way of RNAcentral.
CCUGGGACUCGCGUCCCAGGCUUUCACAUGCCAUCGCUUCGCGAUU